UUAGAUUGUGCUGCGUUCUACAUGAAUAAAGAGAUACUGCGUACAGCUCAGCCAUGAGUCUCUGGUCGUCUGUCUCCUGUCUGCGAAGCUAGCCGGGCAAUGAGUGAAUUCACUGCUUCUUGACAUGCCCAUCUAAGACUGUCUGAGUUUCCAUGUUGAGAGUAACAGUACAGUCACACAAGAAAGAGACAUGUAGAAUCCCAAAAGAUCCAACCUCCACAGCAGAAAUGGACUCACUACUUGAAUGGAGUCGAAUCAAUAUUCAACACAUAAUGAGUUCCCGAUAAAUCUUUGUUUAGAGCCUGGAGUGCAGAUAGUAAGCGGGUAAUCUGUAAAUAGUAAUGUAAAAGGGAUUCCCAGGUGACAAUGUCUCCUCUCACGGAAAGAAACAGCAAUUCUUUGUCUCAGUGGACACAUCAGAACCACAAGAAGAAGACUUCAAAGAAUCUCAGCAAGUACUUCGACUGCUACAUGUCCCCAUCAGGCGACACUGCUCACUGCCUAUAAGAUUUCCACUUGCCUGAUGUGGACAUCUCUGCUGGAGAAUUCUAAUGGUACUUCUCACACCCUGCUGUCAGUGGUGUCCCCUCUUAGACUCUCCUGUUUCCUCUUGACUGGUCAAUCUGCAGGUUGUUUGAUAAUUUUAGCAAUACCUGGUAGAACCACUGCCAUGGCCUUUGUAUAUCAACUUUUGAAGGUAUU
This is a long non-coding RNA of Erinaceus europaeus (western European hedgehog), 702 nucleotides long. RefSeq lists it as uncharacterized. The transcript has 3 exons. The record is from RefSeq and is a predicted model, not a curated record. NCBI's taxonomy places the organism in Eukaryota, Metazoa, Chordata, Mammalia, Eulipotyphla, Erinaceidae.